AGCUCCAAUAGCGUAUAUUAAAGUUGUUGCAGUUAAAAAGCUCGUAGUUGAAUUUUGGGUUUGAUUGGAUGGUCCUGUCGCAAGAUGGGUACUGUUCGGUCGAGUCUUUCCUUCUGGCGAACCAUUGUGCUAUUCACUUAGUGUGAUGGGGAUCCAGGACUUUUACUUUGAAAAAAUUAGAGUGUUUAAACCAGGCUUACGCUUGAAUACAUUAGCAUGGAAUAAUAGGAUAGGACUUUGGUUCUAUUUUGUUGGUUUCUAGGACCGAAGUAAUGAUUAAUAAGGAUAGUUGGGGGCAUUAGUAUUUAAUUGUCAGAGGUGAAAUUCUUGGAUUUAUGAAAGACUAACUUCUGCGAAAGCAUUUGCCAAGGAUGUUUUCA
RNAcentral lists this ribosomal RNA (380 nucleotides) under uncultured eukaryote. Its description in RNAcentral is "SSU rRNA". It matches the Rfam family "Eukaryotic small subunit ribosomal RNA", at positions 587 to 972 of the family's 1831-position model. The record is from RNAcentral.